UCCUUUCCCACCCUACUUUCUAGAAGAAUCCCCCAUACAGCUUCAGCACUUCGCUGGCUUUGCCCCGCACCAACCUUCUCCCCUUCCUUCCCCUCCAAACCUCCACCUACCCUCAACUGCCCACCACUCUCCAAAACACAGGGCACUACCCGCACGAGGAGCAAGAGAAUCGUUCUUCCCUACCCAGGAAAACGAACUUUGCUGUCCCAGCACGGUCUGCAAAGGCGAGAUGCUUCUCCGGACAGAAGGUAACAUUCCGAUCUACAAUACAUCAUAGCCCAGUUGACAAAGGUCACUCCGGUUAAAAGAAAGAGCUGAAAGGAAAGAAUUCAUUUUGUUACCUAACUGGGAGUUUUUCUCCUACCCCAUUGGCUGGAUUGGUGAAUGAGCGUGCUUUUAGUAUCUGAUCCGACCCUUCAGGUAAUCUCAGCAGUAACUAGAGGAAGAAUUUGAACCCAGUCUGGCCCCACCUUUGCUGCAGCCAGAAAAGCUGAAAAGCUGGCUUCUGUAAACGUCAAGGACAAAUGCCACCCUAUUGCUUAUUGAAUUUGGAAGAAUUAAUUAGUAACUUGGAAUGAUUCAACUUGGAGUGUGGUGCACACUUCAGGGCUUCUUGCAAAGAUGGGCUUUGGAAAUAACAUUGAACUCCGGCUUCAUUCCUUUCUUCUACCACUUCAUAACCUUCCCGGGACUCCAAAUCCAACUUGCUUACUGAAGUCUGACAGAAAAAUGCUUUCAAGACCAGAGGAAUGAAAGGGUUUUCAGAAGCCAGACCUGGCCUCUUCAUAUUUGAGGGUGGCUUUCCAGUCAUGGGGUGAGGCCAUGGGCUGAGCUAAUCAUUAGCAGGAAUGUGGAAAUGCCUCACUAUACCUCCGGUUUGCAUCCAGGAAGAGUGGCCCACAUCUGUGUUUCUCAACCUUCCCAAUGCUGUGCACCUUUAAUACAGCUCCUCCUGUUGUGGUGACCCCAACCAAAAAUUAUUUAUUUCAUAACUGUAAUUUUGCUACUGUUAUGAAUUGUAAUGUAAAUAAGGGGUUGUGACCCACAGGUUGAGAACCCAUUGCCGUACAUGGUUUUUCUCCCCUAUAUGGAAACUAAGGACCCUGAGACUACAUGCAGGAGCCAAUGCACCUUCUCUGUGAAAGGGUAAAGAGCAAGCAUCGUUCUUCCCAAGGUCGAUAUCAUAAGUACUCAAUUCUUCUGCCUGGUGCAUUAUAGACUCACCUAUGGACGGUGUAAAUAAGUGGGUAGAGUUGUAUUCUAGAAACAUGUAUUUCAAGAAAAGCAAGCAAGUAAGCAAGCAAACAAACAAAGACUGGGUGUGCUCUGUAGUAAUGCCUGCUGACUCCUUAUCUGAAGACUGGAAGGACUAGUCUCUUAGUGAUGUGAAGAUGUCUACAUGCUAUAUACCCAUAGUAAAUGGAUAUGUGGGUAAAAAAAUCCUCUGCAUGAGUUUCACACAAGUAUCUCCAUAUUUCAGAGGAAAUUCCAGAGAGAUUAAUAAUGUAAACAUUUUAAAGCUGUAAAAGUCCUAAAAAUAGUAAAAGACUACCUCAUGUUGUUGGUUAUCCUUACAAUAUUAGAUAGAAAUAGGAUUUAAAAAAUACCAGAAGCUGUAAAAGAAAAAAAUCAACAAGCAUGAUAAAAAUCAUUAUUUCUAUGCAUAGAAGUAAAGGCCUAAUGCAGAUUGUAGAAACUUAUAUGGAAAGGAGAAGCAGUGAAAUAUUUCAAAUAGAUGGAGGAUAUGCAGAAGCAGCUCUCAAAAAGAGGAAUGUGUUCUAAUGCUAAUGCAAACAUAUUCAAACUCACCAAUGGUCAGAAUGUAAAUCAGCACAUAACAACAUGGGUUUUACUUAUUACGGCAAAAAUAUGUCUUUCUCCUAAGUGU
Molecule: long non-coding RNA, 1888 nt
Organism: Mastomys coucha (southern multimammate mouse)
Lineage: Eukaryota; Metazoa; Chordata; Mammalia; Rodentia; Muridae
Exons: 5
Source: RefSeq, a predicted model, not a curated record